RNAcentral lists this ribosomal RNA (274 nucleotides) under uncultured bacterium. RNAcentral describes it as "partial 16S ribosomal RNA". It matches the Rfam family "Bacterial small subunit ribosomal RNA", at positions 523 to 796 of the family's 1533-position model. The record is from RNAcentral.
AUACGGAGGGUGCAAGCGUUAUCCGGAUUUACUGGGUUUAAAGGGUGCGCAGGCGGUAAUUUAAGUCAGUGGUGAAAGCCUACAGCUCAACUGUAGAACUGCCAUUGAAACUGAAUUACUUGAGUGUGGUAGAGGUAGGCGGAAUACAACAUGUAGCGGUGAAAUGCAUAGAUAUGUUGUAGAACACCGAUUGCGAAGGCAGCUUACUAAACCAUUACUGACGCUCAGGCACGAAAGCGUGGGGAGCGAACAGGAUUAGAUACCCUAGUAGUCC